CUUGGUCAUUUAGAGGAAGUAAAAGUCGUAACAGGGUCUCCGUAGGUGAACCUGCGGAGGGAUCAUUACAAGUGACCCCGGUCUAACCACCGGGAUGUUCAUAACCCUUUGUUGUCCGACUCUGUUGCCUCCGGGGCGACCCUGCCUUCGGGCGGGGGCUCCGGGUGGACACUUCAAACUCUUGCGUAACUUUGCAGUCUGAGUAAACUUAAUUAAUAAAUUAAAACUUUUAACAACGGAUCUCUUGGUUCUGGCAUCGAUGAAGAACGCAGCGAAAUGCGAUAAGUAAUGUGAAUUGCAGAAUUCAGUGAAUCAUCGAAUCUUUGAACGCACAUUGCGCCCCCUGGUAUUCCGGGGGGCAUGCCUGUUCGAGCGUCAUUUCACCACUCAAGCCUCGCUUGGUAUUGGGCAACGCGGUCCGCCGCGUGCCUCAAAUCGACCGGCUGGGUCUUCUGUCCCCUAAGCGUUGUGGAAACUAUUCGCUAAAGGGUGCUCGGGAGGCUACGCCGUAAAACAAACCCAUUUCUAAGGUUGACCUCGGAUCAGGUAGGGAUACCCGCUGAACUUAAGCAUAUCAAUAAGCGGA
Molecule: ribosomal RNA, 586 nt
Filed under: uncultured fungus
Lineage: Eukaryota; Fungi
Description: eukaryotic LSU rRNA
Rfam family: 5.8S ribosomal RNA (bases 225-378)
Source: RNAcentral